Molecule: ribosomal RNA, 497 nt
Filed under: uncultured bacterium
Lineage: Bacteria
Description: partial 16S ribosomal RNA
Rfam family: Bacterial small subunit ribosomal RNA
Source: RNAcentral
GAUGAACGCUGGCGGCGUGCCUAAUACAUGCAAGUCGAGCGAACAGACGAGGAGCUUGCUCCUCUGACGUUAGCGGCGGACGGGUGAGUAACACGUGGAUAACCUACCUAUAAGACUGGGAUAACUUCGGGAAACCGGAGCUAAUACCGGAUAAUAUAUUGAACCGCAUGGUUCAAUAGUGAAAGACGGUUUUGCUGUCACUUAUAGAUGGAUCCGCGCCGCAUUAGCUAGUUGGUAAGGUAACGGCUUACCAAGGCAACGAUGCGUAGCCGACCUGAGAGGGUGAUCGGCCACACUGGAACUGAGACACGGUCCAGACUCCUACGGGAGGCAGCAGUAGGGAAUCUUCCGCAAAGGGCGAAAGCCUGACGGAGCAACGCCGCGUGAGUGAUGAAGGUCUUCGGAUCGUAAAACUCUGUUAUUAGGGAAGAACAAAUGUGUAAGUAACUAUGCACGUCUUGACGGUACCUAAUCAGAAAGCCAAGGCUAACUACGUG